RNAcentral lists this ribosomal RNA (497 nucleotides) under uncultured bacterium. Its description in RNAcentral is "partial 16S ribosomal RNA". It matches the Rfam family "Bacterial small subunit ribosomal RNA", at positions 28 to 507 of the family's 1533-position model. The record is from RNAcentral.
GAUGAACGCUGGCGGCGUGCCCAAUACAUGCAAGUCGAGCGAACGGACGAGAAGCUUGCUUCUCUGAUGUUAGCGGCGGACGGGUGAGUAACACGUGGAUAACCUACCUAUAAGACUGGGAUAACUUCGGGAAACCGGAGCUAAUACCGGAUAAUAUUUUGAACCGCAUGGUUCAAAAGUGAAAGACGGUCUUGCUGUCACUUAUAGAUGGAUCCGCGCUGCAUUAGCUAGUUGGUAAGGUAACGGCUUACCAAGGCAACGAUGCAUAGCCGACCUGAGAGGGUGAUCGGCCACACUGGAACUGAGACACGGUCCAGACUCCUACGAGAGGCAGCAGUAGGGAAUCUUCCGCAAUGGGCGAAAGCCUGACGGAGCAACGCCGCGUGAGUGAUGAAGGUCUUCGGAUCGUAAAACUCUGUUAUUAGGGAAGAACAUAUGUGUAAGUAACUGUGCACAUCUUGACGGUACCUAAUCAGAAAGCCACGGCUAACUACGUG